AAGGAAGAGAAGUUGACCUCCCUGGGAUGUCGUCACUUCAUUAUUGGCUGCACCUGCGCAAUCAUGUGAUGCGAUACAUUUUUCAAAGACGUUUUUCAAGACACAGGAGAGGUCGGGUUGAAACAUUACUGAUGUUUCACGUUAAAAAUGGCUCUAAAGAUUGAUGCUAAACAACGUUUGACAUGUUUGAACAAUGUAAAUAGAUAAUUUUUUUUACUUUUCGCCGUGACUCCCCCCCCCCCGUGCUACUUUUUAGUAGCCUACCGAAGCGCUAACAACUUGGAGUUAUUGGGACAUCAAUUAUGAACUUUGUUGAAAGAAACCACAUUUGCAGUGGACCUGGGAUGCCUGGAAUUGCCAAUGGAUGAAGAGAAUCAAAGGUCAAGAGGAGUGUGAACUCCGAGCUUCACUGACCCAGUCAUUACUGGGACACUGCAGAAGAAGAGAGUCUGUCUCGUUGUCUUUCAUCCUCUCUCUCUCUCUCUCUGCAGGUUACAGUUCUCUGUCAGAGAGGUUAAAACAUGAUGUCAAAAGGUGACAGAGUCUGGAACAGCAGGAGAGAUAGCAGGAGAGAUAAGGUCGGGGUGAGGAGAGAGAAAGAGAAAGAAAGAGAGAGAG
Molecule: long non-coding RNA, 618 nt
Filed under: Salmo salar (Atlantic salmon)
Lineage: Eukaryota; Metazoa; Chordata; Actinopteri; Salmoniformes; Salmonidae
Description: lncRNA (ENSSSAG00000087369.1, ENSSSAG00000115320.1)
Source: RNAcentral